AAAAAUGAGCGCGAAGCUCUUUUCCGCAGAUGUCGACGGCCUUGGAUGUCUCCUUAUAGGUUUUGAAACAUAAACUGGAGACAGUUAAUUUCGAACGC
This is a non-coding RNA of Caenorhabditis elegans, 98 nucleotides long. NCBI's taxonomy places the organism in Eukaryota, Metazoa, Nematoda, Chromadorea, Rhabditida, Rhabditidae. The record is from Ensembl.